GACGAACGCUGGCGGCGUGCUUAACACAUGCAAGUCGAACGCUGAAGCUCAGCUUUUGUUGGGUGGAUGAGUGGCGAACGGGUGAGUAACACGUGAGUAACCUGCCUCCUUCUUUGGGAUAACGCCCGGAAACGGGUGCUAAUACUGGAUAUUCACUGGUCUUCGCAUGGGGGUUGGUGGAAAGGGUUUUUCUGGUGGGGGAUGGGCUCGCGGCCUAUCAGCUUGUUGGUGGGGUGAUGGCCUACCAAGGCUUUGACGGGUAGCCGGCCUGAGAGGGUGACCGGUCACAUUGGGACUGAGAUACGGCCCAGACUCCUGCGGGAGGCAGCAGGGGGGAAUAUUGCAGAAUGGGCGCAAGCCUGAUGCAGCGACGCCGCGUGAGGGAUGGAGGCCUGCGGGUUGUGAACCUCUUUCGCUCAUGGUCAAGCCGCAACAAUGGUUGUGGUGAGGGUAGUGGGUAAAGAAGCGCCGGCUAACUACGUG
This 483-nucleotide ribosomal RNA is filed under the name uncultured bacterium. Its description in RNAcentral is "partial 16S ribosomal RNA". It matches the Rfam family "Bacterial small subunit ribosomal RNA", at positions 28 to 507 of the family's 1533-position model. The record is from RNAcentral.